UACGUAGGGUCCGAGCGUUUGUCCGGAAUUACUGGGCGUAAAGAGCUCGUAGGUGGUUUGAUCGCGUUGUUCGUGAAAACUCAUAGCUUAACUGUGGGCGUGCGGGCGAUACGGGCAGACUUGAGUACUGCAGGGGAGGACUGGAAUUCCUGGUGUAGCGGUGAAAUGCGCAGAUAUCAGGAGGAACACCGGUGGCGAAGGCGGGUCUCUGGGCCGAUACUGACGCUGAGGAGCGAAAGCGUGGGGAGCGAACAGG
Molecule: ribosomal RNA, 256 nt
Filed under: uncultured bacterium
Lineage: Bacteria
Description: partial 16S ribosomal RNA
Rfam family: Bacterial small subunit ribosomal RNA
Source: RNAcentral